RNAcentral lists this ribosomal RNA (123 nucleotides) under Danio rerio (zebrafish). Lineage: Eukaryota; Metazoa; Chordata; Actinopteri; Cypriniformes; Danionidae. The record is from RNAcentral.
UACAGAGGCUAGCACUGCCCCAUGGCGUACAUUUUUUCUGGUCGCCCACUGAAGCUAAGCAGGGCUGCGCCCGGUCAGCAUCUAGAUGGGAGACCAAAUGGGAAAGCUAGGUUGCUUCUGGAC